GAUGAACGCUGGCGGCGUGCCUAAUACAUGCAAGUCGAGCUAACAGACGAGGAGCUUGCUCCUCUGACGUUAGCGGCGGACGGGUGAGUAACACGUGGAUAACCUACCUAUAAGACUGGGAUAACUUCGGGAAACCGGAGCUAAUACCGGAUAAUAUAUUGAACCGCAUGGUUCAAUAGUGAAAGACGGUUUUGCUGUCACUUAUAGAUGGAUCCGCGCCGCAUUAGCUAGUUGGUAAGGUAACGGCUUACCAAGGCAACGAUGCGUAGCCGACCUGAGAGGGUGAUCGGCCACCCUGGAACUGAGACACGGUCCAGACUCCUACGGGAGGCAGCAGUAGGGAAUCUUCCGCAAUGGGCGAAAGCCUGACGGAGCAACGCCGCGUGAGUGAUGAAGGUCUUCGGAUCGUAAAACUCUGUUAUUAGGGAAGAACAAAUGUGUAAGUAACUAUGCACGUCUUGACGGUACCUAAUCAGAAAGCCACGGCUAACUACGU
Molecule: ribosomal RNA, 496 nt
Filed under: uncultured bacterium
Lineage: Bacteria
Description: partial 16S ribosomal RNA
Rfam family: Bacterial small subunit ribosomal RNA
Source: RNAcentral